This 492-nucleotide ribosomal RNA is filed under the name Ptycta monticola. RNAcentral's name for it is "partial 16S ribosomal RNA". The record is from RNAcentral. Lineage: Eukaryota; Metazoa; Arthropoda; Insecta; Psocodea; Psocidae.
AAAACAUGUCUUUUUGAUAAAAAUUUAAAGUCAGGUCUGCUCACUGAAUUAAUUUAAAGAGCCGCAGUAUAUUGACUGUGCAAAGGUAGCAUAAUCAUUAGUUUUUUAAUUGGGAACUAGAAUGAAAGAUUAGACGAAAAAUUAAUUUUCUUUAUUUUAAUAAAUUUAACUUUAAAUUUAAGUGAAAAUGCUUAAAUAUAAUUAAAAGACGAGAAGACCCUAUAGAUUUUUAUUAUCGAAAUAAAUUUUUAAAUUUAAUUUAGUAAAAUAAUUUAAUUGGGGCGAUUUUAUAAUAUAAAUAACUUAAUUUUUUAAAACCAUAAAUAAUUGAAUAUUUGAUCUAAAAUUUUUAAAGAAAAGAUUAAAUUACCUUAGGGAUAACAGCGUAAUUUUAUUUAAGAGUUCAUAUCUAUAAUAAAGUUUGCGACCUCGAUGUUGAAUUAAGAUAAUAUAUUGGAGUAGAAAUUAAUAUAAUUAGUCUGUCGGACUAUU